This 465-nucleotide ribosomal RNA is filed under the name uncultured bacterium. Its description in RNAcentral is "partial 16S ribosomal RNA". It matches the Rfam family "Bacterial small subunit ribosomal RNA", at positions 339 to 795 of the family's 1533-position model. The record is from RNAcentral.
CUACGGGCCGCUGCAGUGAGGAAUCUUGCGCAAUGGGGGAAACCCUGACGCAGCGACGCCGCGUGGGUGAUGAAGGCCUUCGGGUCGUAAAGCCCUGUCGAGAGGGAAGAAUUGCAUUUAGGUUAAUAGCCUAAUUGUUUGACGGUACCUCCAAAGGAAGCACCGGCUAACUCCGUGCCAGCAGCCGCGGUAAUACGGAGGGUGCAAGCGUUGUUCGGAAUCACUGGGCGUAAAGGGCGUGUAGGCGGCUGAGUAAGUCAGGUGUGAAAUCCCUCGGCUCAACCGAGGAAGUGCAUUUGAUAAUGCUCAUCUUGAGUACUGGAGAGGGAGAUGGAAUUCCCGGUGUAGAGGUGAAAUUCGUAGAUAUCGGGAGGAACACCAGUGGCGAAGGCGAUCUCCUGGACAGAUACUGACGCUAAGGCGCGAAAGCGUGGGGAGCAAACAGGAUUAGAUACCCUUGUAGUC